AGAGUUUGAUCCUGGCUCAGGACGAACGCUGGCGGCACGCUUAACACAUGCAAGUCGAACGAGAGAAGAGGAGCUUGCUUUUCUGAUCUAGUGGCGGACGGGUGAGUAACACGUGAGCAAUCUGCCUUUCAGAGGGGGAUACCGAUUGGAAACGAUCGUUAAUACCGCAUAACAUAAUUGAACCGCAUGAUUUGAUUAUCAAAGAUUUAUCGCUGAAAGAUGAGCUCGCGUCUGAUUAGCUAGUUGGUAAGGUAACGGCUUACCAAGGCGACGAUCAGUAGCCGGACUGAGAGGUUGAUCGGCCACAUUGGGACUGAGACACGGCCCAGACUCCUACGGGAGGCAGCAGUGGGGAAUAUUGCACAAUGGAGGAAACUCUGAUGCAGCGAUGCCGCGUGAGGGAAGAAGGUUUUAGGAUUGUAAACCUCUGUCUUCAGGGACGAAAAAAGACGGUACCUGAGGAGGAAGCUCCGGCUAACUACGUGCCAGCAGCCGCGGUAAUACGUAGGGAGCGAGCGUUGUCCGGAAUUACUGGGUGUAAAGGGAGCGUAGGCGGGAUCGCAAGUCAGAUGUGAAAACUAUGGGCUUAACCCAUAAACUGCAUUUGAAACUGUGGUUCUUGAGUGAAGUAGAGGUAAGCGGAAUUCCUAGUGUAGCGGUGGAAUGCGUAGAUAUUAGGAGGAACAUCAGUGGCGAAGGCGGCUUACUGGGCUUUAACUGACGCUGAGGCUCGAAAGCGUGGGGAGCAAACAGGAUUAGAUACCCUGGUAGUCCACGCCGUAAACGAUGAUUACUAGGUGUGGGGGGACUGACCCCUUCCGUGCCGCAGCAAACGCAAUAAGUAAUCCACCUGGGGAGUACGACCGCAAGGUUGAAACUCAAAGGAAUUGACGGGGGCCCGCACAAGCAGUGGAGUAUGUGGAUUAAUUCGAAGCAACGCGAAGAACCUUACCAGGUCUUGACAUCGUAUGCAUAGCUCAGAGAUGAGUGAAAUCUCUUCGGAGACAUAUAGACAGGUGGUGCAUGGUUGUCGUCAGCUCGUGUCGUGAGAUGUUGGGUUAAGUCCCGCAACGAGCGCAACCCUUACUGUUAGUUGCUACGCAAGAGCACUCUAGCAGGACUGCCGUUGACAAAACGGAGGAAGGUGGGGAUGACGUCAAAUCAUCAUGCCCCUUAUGACCUGGGCCUCACACGUACUACAAUGGCUGUCAACAGAGGGAAGCAAAGCCGCGAGGUGGAGCGAACCCCUAAAAGCAGUCUUAGUUCGGAUUGUAGGCUGCAACCCGCCUACAUGAAGUCGGAAUUGCUAGUAAUCGCAGAUCAGCAUGCUGCGGUGAAUACGUUCCCGGGCCUUGUACACACCGCCCGUCACGCCAUGGGAGUCGGUAACACCCGAAGCCUGUAGUCUAACCGCAAGGAGGACGCAGUCGAAGGUGGGAUUGAUGACUGGGGUGAAGUCGUAACAAGGUA
Molecule: ribosomal RNA, 1470 nt
Filed under: metagenome
Description: bacterial SSU rRNA
Rfam family: Bacterial small subunit ribosomal RNA
Source: RNAcentral